GACGAACGCUGGCGGCGUGCUUAACACAUGCAAGUCGAGCGGUAAGGCCCUUUCGGGGGUACGACGAGCGGCGAACGGGUGAGUAACACGUGGGUGACCUGCCCUUAGCUCUGGGAUAAGCCUGGGAAACUGGGUCUAAUACCGGAUAUGACUCCAUGACGCAUGUUGUGGGGUGGAAAGCCUUGUGCGGCUAGGGAUGGGCCCGCGGCCUAUCAGCUUGUUGGUGGGGUGAUGGCCUACCAAGGCGACGACGGGUAGCCGGCCUGAGAGGGCGACCGGCCACACUGGGACUGAGUCACGGCCCAGACUCCUACGGGAGGCAGCAGUGGGGAAUCUUGCGCAAUGGGCGAAAGCCUGACGCAGCGACGCCGCGUGGGGA
This 379-nucleotide ribosomal RNA is filed under the name uncultured bacterium. RNAcentral describes it as "bacterial SSU rRNA". It matches the Rfam family "Bacterial small subunit ribosomal RNA", at positions 28 to 407 of the family's 1533-position model. The record is from RNAcentral.